This 24-nucleotide non-coding RNA is filed under the name Arabidopsis thaliana (thale cress). The record is from RNAcentral. Lineage: Eukaryota; Viridiplantae; Streptophyta; Magnoliopsida; Brassicales; Brassicaceae.
CGCUGCGACAAGCACCGGCGGCAC